AGUGAACGCUGGCGGUAGGCCUAACACAUGCAAGUCGAACGGCAGCACAGUAAGAGCUUGCUCUUACGGGUGGCGAGUGGCGGACGGGUGAGGAAUACAUCGGAAUCUACUUUUUCGUGGGGGAUAACGUAGGGAAACUUACGCUAAUACCGCAUACGACCUACGGGUGAAAGCAGGGGAUCUUCGGACCUUGCGCGAUUGAAUGAGCCGAUGUCGGAGUAGCUAGUUGGCGGGGUAAAGGCCCACCAGGGCGACGAUCCGUAGCUGGUCUGAGAGGAUGAUCGGCCACACUGGAACUGAGACACGGUCAAGAGUCCUACGGGAGGCCGCAGUGGGGAAUAUUGGACAAUGGGCGCAAGCCUGAUCCAGCCAUACCGCGUGGGUGAAGAAGGCCUUCGGGUUGUAAAGCCGUUUUGUUGGGAAAGAAAAGCAGCAGGUUAAUACCCCGCUGUUCUGACGGUACCCAAAGAAUAAGCACCGGCUAACUUCGUG
This 492-nucleotide ribosomal RNA is filed under the name uncultured bacterium. Its description in RNAcentral is "partial 16S ribosomal RNA". It matches the Rfam family "Bacterial small subunit ribosomal RNA", at positions 29 to 507 of the family's 1533-position model. The record is from RNAcentral.